This is a long non-coding RNA of Otolemur garnettii (small-eared galago), 732 nucleotides long. RefSeq lists it as uncharacterized. The record is from RefSeq and is a predicted model, not a curated record. Lineage: Eukaryota; Metazoa; Chordata; Mammalia; Primates; Galagidae. The transcript is spliced from 2 exons.
GGGACUUUAUUACUAUUAGUUUCUGCGUGGAGAAGAGCAGAUGAACUUGGGGCUUUGCCCCUUCCUGGCCCACCUCCUGUUUUCAUCACUAGAAAUGUGAACCCAGGGACACACCUGCCUGCCCUACAGCAAGAGCUCCUGCUGCAGGCAGUUUGCACAGAGAUAAAGACAUCAAGAUACAAGAAGCUCAACAAAAACCUGGGAAAAUCAUUACAAAGAAGCAAUCACUGAAACAUAUAGUUAUCAGAGUGGCCAAAGUCAACAAGAAGGAGGAAUUCCUACAAACUGUGAGGUAAAAACAUUAAGUAACUUACAAAGGAAAACCCAUCAGGCUAACCAAAGACAUCUCAGCAAGCAGAGACCUUGCAAGUCAGAAUGGAUUAGGUGCCAUCUUUGGUCUUAAAUGGAACAACUACUGGUCCAGAAUUUUGUAUCCUACAACAUUAAUUUUCAUAUAUAAACAAGAAAUAGAGACAUUUUUGGACAAGCAAACAGUAAGAGAAUUUGUCCAAAGCAGACCUGCCCUGCAGGAAAUACUCAUACAUGGAUCAGCACAAAGACACCUAUUAGUAUAAAAUCACUUAAAAGCUAAAGCUAUCAGAUCUCAUAAAAUAAUAGCACAAGAAGAAAAAGAAAUAAGGUACUACUGAAUAGGAUGAACAGUAGAGUGUCCAACAUAUCAAUUCUAUCACUCAACAUGAACUGUCUCAAUGUCCCACUCAAAAAAAAAAA